Molecule: non-coding RNA, 846 nt
Organism: Camelina sativa (false flax)
Lineage: Eukaryota; Viridiplantae; Streptophyta; Magnoliopsida; Brassicales; Brassicaceae
Source: RefSeq, a predicted model, not a curated record
AGUCUUCCAAAAUUCAUUCCUCUCUCACUCGCUCUCUUAUCUAUAAAAUAAAAAGUUCAUUCCACUUCCUUUUUGCUUCGUAUCAUCAUCAUCUCCUCACACUUGGAUUUAGCCAAUUCCAAAUCAGACUCUCUUCUUCUCUGCAGAUCAUAAUUCAUAAACAACUUGGCAUGUUCAAUUGAUCGUUUCCUUGUGGUGGAUUAUGUUACCAGGGAUCUUUGUUUCCUCUGUGUCUGUUCAUCGACAAAUGGCACAUAUCCUUCUUCUUGAUCUCUUUCAUUUAUUAAGAUUCGUUUUACCUUUUAGUAUUAUUAUUAUUACACUACAUAGGGAGAAUUUUUCGGUUUCUUUUUUUAUUAUUUUUAAUUUUCUGUGAUAUUAUAUACUAUUUGUUUGGCUUUAAUUGAAGCAAACGUGGAAACCAGAGAGAACGUGAUCGUGAAAGAGCUCAAGCAAGAGGUAAUCAUAAGCCUAAACAACCUAAGAACGAUGGAUUGACUCCUGAACAACGUCGUGAAAGAGACGCAAGAGCAUUGCAAGAGAAGGCAGCUAGAAAGGCAGGACAAUCAAUGGGUGGAGGGAACCAUGACCAUGCCCUUCGUGUUGGUGGUAAAAUUAAGAAAUAAGACGAUGGUCAUGCAGUAGUAGGGGUUUAUGCGGUAUUGUAAUUGUAUGUUAUUUAUUUGUUGACCAUCGAAUUAAUUCUACAUCGUGUGGGUGGGAGGUUUUCAACAAUUGUGUUAAGUCUUCAAGUGUGAUUCUUGUCUUAGCAUAUGAUGUUGGCUUUUAAACUUUUUGUUAUACGUCUUAAUUAUAUCCAAUGGAAUGUGUUGAUGUUUCGUUCUU